Molecule: ribosomal RNA, 163 nt
Filed under: uncultured bacterium
Lineage: Bacteria
Description: partial 16S rRNA
Rfam family: Bacterial small subunit ribosomal RNA
Source: RNAcentral
UAGGGAAUCUUCCACAAUGGACGCAGGUCUGAUGGAGCAACGCCGCGUGAGUGAAGAAGGUCUUCGGAUCGUAAAACUCUGUUGUUAGAGAAGAACACGAGUGAGAGUAACUGUUCAUUCGAUGACGGUAUCUAACCAGCAAGUCACGGCUAACUACGUGCCA